Molecule: long non-coding RNA, 495 nt
Filed under: Papio anubis (olive baboon)
Lineage: Eukaryota; Metazoa; Chordata; Mammalia; Primates; Cercopithecidae
Description: lncRNA (ENSPANG00000049624.1)
Source: RNAcentral
UAUGUCAUCUCCAGGAUUUUCUUAAUACUGAGUGAGAAUCUGUUAUGACUGGAGACAUCUUGUUACCAGCAGAAGAGAUCCAGGUUACCCCAAGCUACUGUCGUGUAUCCAUGUGAAUCUGCAGCAACUUCAGCCCUUACCUCCUCGGGAAGAAGAAUUUGAUUGAGGAGCAUAAAGCAGAAAAAGAGACUGGGGCAAGUUCCAGAGCAGGAGUGGAAGGUUAUUAAAAAGGCUUUAGAACAGAAGCAAGACUGACCUCCUUGGACCAGACUUUCUGGACAAUUUGCUGGCAGAGGAAGAGACAACAAGAGGAAAAAAGUGGACUUCCUGCACAAGGAGAGACCAUGUGAACACACAGCAAGAACGUGGUGCUCUGCAAGUCAGAAACAGACCCUUCAUCAGACACCAAAUCAGCCAGCACCUUGAUCUAGGAUUUCUGGCCUCCAAAAUGGUGAGAAAAUACAUUUCUGUCGUUUAAGCCAUGGAGCCUGUUGU